This 618-nucleotide ribosomal RNA is filed under the name Triticum aestivum (bread wheat). RNAcentral's name for it is "partial small subunit ribosomal RNA". Lineage: Eukaryota; Viridiplantae; Streptophyta; Magnoliopsida; Poales; Poaceae. The record is from RNAcentral.
AUGGGCAACGGCCUCUCCCCUUGCUUGCGCGCCCUGGCCGUGCACGGCAAGGGAGCGGAGGCGAGGCUGGUGUUCUGGGGCGGGCAGACGAGGCUCGCCGCAGCUUCCGGCGGGCGGUUCACCACGGCCGGCGACGUCACGGCGGAGGCCCCCGACCACCUCGUCUGCUCCGGCGACUCCUUCUUCAUCGGCCUCCCGAUCCCCGCGCUGCCGCCGGGCGAGGAGCUGCGGGCGGGGCGGACCUACUUCGUGCUCCCCGCGGCCCGGUUCUCCAGCUGCCAGGCGCUCACCGCGGCCUCGCUCGCGUCGCUGUCGCCGGCCCCGACCAAGGUGUCGCUCGCCGGCGAGUCGUCCCCGUUCGAGUACGUCACGGGCGCCGACGGCAUGGCGCUCAUCAGGGUCCUCCCGGAGUUCAUCGAAAAGGUGAUCACGUCCGACGGUGGCGGCGACAAGAAGUGCGGCGCGGCGGCGCCGGAACAGCUGUGCAGCACGCCGGAGCUGAGGAAGCACUACAUGCAGCUGGUGGGGGCGAGGCAGCAGCGGCCGUGGUCGCCGGGGCUCGAGACGAUAUCGGAGGCCAGGAAGGGGAGAAGGAUGCCGACAUGCCGUCGUCGGUGA